UAAGGUUCGAUUCGAGCGCAGCGAGAAAGCGUUGCCUGCGGCAACGACCCGAAGGGCGAAGCGCGCAGCGCUGAGUCAUCCUUCCCCCACCACCA
This 95-nucleotide small RNA is filed under the name Salmonella enterica. Its description in RNAcentral is "partial RtT sRNA". It matches the Rfam family "RtT RNA", at positions 37 to 130 of the family's 130-position model. Rfam says of the family: This family represents a bacterial cis-regulatory element known as RtT RNA. The exact function of RtT is unknown although it is thought that it may be involved in changing the cellular response in relation to amino acid starvation. Lineage: Bacteria; Pseudomonadati; Pseudomonadota; Gammaproteobacteria; Enterobacterales; Enterobacteriaceae. The record is from RNAcentral. RNAcentral also lists the same sequence under 1 other name.